CCCUCCCGCCCUCCGGGCCGGGUCCCCAGGAGAACGGGUGUGGUGGUCAGGCUGCCUUCCCCCCAGACAGCCCCAGCACAGCGCAGAGCAGAGAGGGAGCGCGUCCCCACGGGCCAGGCCCAGGCGGGAGGAUGGGGGCACCGAGGCCGGUGCCCUGAGGCUACGGAGGGCCGCGACCGUCACCCCGGGAACCACUCCUAUGGGCAGGCAUGGCACUCACCACUCCCUUCCUGUCCAGAGCUGCUCCUGGACGACAGCUGUGCGGAGGACCAGGACGGGGAGCUGGAUGGGCUGUGGACCACCAUCUCCAUCUUCAUCACGCUCUUCCUGCUCAGCGUGUGCUACAGCGCCACUGUCACCCUCUUCAAGGUGAAGUGGAUCUUCUCCUCGGUGGUGGAGCUGAAGCGCACGAUCGCGCCCGACUACAGGAACAUGAUCGGGCAGGGGGCCUAGGGCCAGCCGUCCCGGGCGGGUGUCAGCGCUGCCCCAACCCUGCACAGGAUCCCGGUGCGUCAGCCUGCUGCCAGGCCUGCUCUCCCGCCCUCUGACCUCGCCACCC
Lynx canadensis (Canada lynx) is the source of this 559-nucleotide non-coding RNA. NCBI's taxonomy places the organism in Eukaryota, Metazoa, Chordata, Mammalia, Carnivora, Felidae. The record is from the annotation of a RefSeq genome assembly.